Mirounga angustirostris (Northern elephant seal) is the source of this 101-nucleotide small nucleolar RNA. RefSeq annotates it as small nucleolar RNA U13. The transcript has a single exon. NCBI's taxonomy places the organism in Eukaryota, Metazoa, Chordata, Mammalia, Carnivora, Phocidae. The record is from RefSeq and is a predicted model, not a curated record.
AUCCUCUGUAGUUCAUAAGUGUGAUGAUUGGGUGUUCACGCUGUCGUGGGAUAUGUGCCUACCUCAAACCUUGUUACAACCUCAACAAUUACCCACUGAUG